CACGAAGCGGUGGAUGAUGUGGAUUAAUUCGAUGCAACGCGAAAACCUUACCUACCCUUGACAUGUCCGGAAUCCCGAAGAGAUUUGGGAGUGCUCGCAAGAGAACCGGAACACAGGUGCUGCAUGGCUGUCGUCAGCUCGUGUCGUGAGAUGUUGGGUUAAGUCCCGCAACGAGCGCAACCCUUGUCAUUAGUUGCCAUCAUUUGGUUGGGCACUCUAAUGAGACUGCCGGUGACAAACCGGAGGAAGGUGGGGAUGACGUCAAGUCCUCAUGGCCCUUAUGGGUAGGGCUUCACACGUCAUACAAUGGUCGGUACAGAGGGUUGCCAACCCGCGAGGGGGAGCUAAUCCCACAAAGCCGAUCGUAGUCCGGAUCGCAGUCUGCAACUCGACUGCGUGAAGUCGGAAUCGCUAGUAAUCGUGGAUCAGCAUGUCACGGUGAAUACGUUCCCGGGUCUU
This 459-nucleotide ribosomal RNA is filed under the name uncultured Rhodocyclaceae bacterium. Its description in RNAcentral is "bacterial SSU rRNA". It matches the Rfam family "Bacterial small subunit ribosomal RNA", at positions 924 to 1382 of the family's 1533-position model. The record is from RNAcentral. Lineage: Bacteria; Pseudomonadati; Pseudomonadota; Betaproteobacteria; Rhodocyclales; Rhodocyclaceae.